AAAUGUGAAGGUGAUAUAACUGUGACAUCUGUCACCCAAACACUGGCAGGUGCAUUUUGUCGCUCCAGCUAGCUAAAUGAAUGCACCUUCUUCCCUCACCAGCCUAUAUGUGUGCUUCCUGAAGCCACCUGUUAGGACAAAGAGAAUGACAUUAUCUAACAGAGAAGAACUGCUAUUCUGUGGUGGAUGUACAAGUAACCAUUCUCCCCUGCUAGAACCUCCAAACAAGCUCUCUAAUCUCACUUGUAAAAUAACAUAAGAUAGUCAAGCUCUUUUUUUUUCCUUUUUUCUUUUUAAUUUUGGUUGGUCGUG
Non-coding RNA from Dipodomys ordii (Ord's kangaroo rat), 312 nucleotides. The record is from Rfam. Lineage: Eukaryota; Metazoa; Chordata; Mammalia; Rodentia; Heteromyidae.